RNAcentral lists this ribosomal RNA (445 nucleotides) under uncultured bacterium. RNAcentral describes it as "partial 16S ribosomal RNA". It matches the Rfam family "Bacterial small subunit ribosomal RNA", at positions 354 to 796 of the family's 1533-position model. The record is from RNAcentral.
GUGAGGAAUAUUGGUCAAUGGACGGAAGUCUGAACCAGCCAUGCCGCGUGCAGGAAUAAGGUCCUAUGGAUUGUAAACUGCUUUUAUUCGGGAAUAAACCUCUUUACGUGUAGGGAGCUGAAGGUACCGAAGGAAUAAGCACCGGCUAACUCCGUGCCAGCAGCCGCGGUAAUACGGAGGGUGCAAGCGUUAUCCGGACUCAUUGGGUUUAAAGGGUCCGCAGGCGGGCUAUCAAGUCAGAGGUGAAAUCCCACAGCUUAACUGUGGAACUGCCUUUGAAACUGAUGGUCUUGAAUUAAGUGGGCGUUGGCGGAAUAUGACAUGUAGCGGUGAAAUGCAUAGAUAUGUCAUGGAACACCGAAAGCGAAGGCAGCUAACGAUACUUAUAUUGACGCUCAUGGACGAAAGCGUGGGUAGCGAACAGGAUUAGAUACCCGGGUAGUCC